UUGAUUUUCUGGAUGGUGAGCUGUGCCUUCACAGAACAUGGAGGGCUGAUCACAUUUCCGGAGCUUGACCCUCAGAGCAGCAGUGGGCCAAUUGGCAGAGAAAGUUCUGAGGAUGAAAAGUUCUUGGUGGAAGAGGUUCCCAUUCCUGCAACCAAGGUGACCUCCACCAUUUUUCCACUGGCAGAGGCUCCAGCCCCAGAUAAGCAACAAAACCAGCCAUG
Myotis brandtii (Brandt's bat) is the source of this 221-nucleotide long non-coding RNA. RefSeq lists it as uncharacterized. The transcript has 3 exons. The record is from RefSeq and is a predicted model, not a curated record. NCBI's taxonomy places the organism in Eukaryota, Metazoa, Chordata, Mammalia, Chiroptera, Vespertilionidae.